This 464-nucleotide ribosomal RNA is filed under the name uncultured bacterium. RNAcentral describes it as "partial 16S ribosomal RNA". It matches the Rfam family "Bacterial small subunit ribosomal RNA", at positions 339 to 795 of the family's 1533-position model. The record is from RNAcentral.
CUACGGGUUGCUGCAGUAGGGAAUCUUCCACAAUGGGCGAAAGCCUGAUGGAGCAACGCCGCGUGAGUGAAGAAGGUUUUCGGAUCGUAAAACUCUGUUGUAAGGGAAGAACAAGUACAGUAGUAACUGGCUGUACCUUGACGGUACCUUAUUAGAAAGCCACGGCUAACUACGUGCCAGCAGCCGCGGUAAUACGUAGGUGGCAAGCGUUGUCCGGAAUUAUUGGGCGUAAAGCGCGCGCAGGCGGUCCUUUAAGUCUGAUGUGAAAGCCCACGGCUCAACCGUGGAGGGUCAUUGGAAACUGGGGGACUUGAGUGCAGAAGAGGAAAGUGGAAUUCCAAGUGUAGCGGUGAAAUGCGUAGAGAUUUGGAGGAACACCAGUGGCGAAGGCGACUUUCUGGUCUGUAACUGACGCUGAGGCGCGAAAGCGUGGGGAGCAAACAGGAUUAGAUACCCGCGUAGUC